Molecule: ribosomal RNA, 236 nt
Filed under: uncultured bacterium
Lineage: Bacteria
Description: partial 16S ribosomal RNA
Rfam family: Bacterial small subunit ribosomal RNA
Source: RNAcentral
UGAGCAAUCUGCCCUUCUCUUCGGAAUAAGCGUUGGAAACGACGUCUAAUGCCGAAUACGACCUCCUUUCGCAUGAUCGGAGGUUGAAAGCUCCGGCGGAGAAGGAUGAGCUCGCGGCCUAUCAGCUAGUUGGUGUGGGUAACGCCCACCAAGGCGACGACGGGUAGCCGGCCUGAGAGGGUGACCGGCCACACUGGGACUGAGACACGGCCCAGACUCCGUACGGGAGCAGCAGG